RNAcentral lists this ribosomal RNA (516 nucleotides) under uncultured Cryptophyta. Its description in RNAcentral is "SSU rRNA". It matches the Rfam family "Eukaryotic small subunit ribosomal RNA", at positions 451 to 980 of the family's 1831-position model. The record is from RNAcentral. Lineage: Eukaryota; Cryptophyceae.
CCGAUUCGGGGAGGUAGUGACAAUAAAUAACAAUACAGGGCCAACGGUCUUGUUAUUGGAAUGAGAACAAUUUAAAUAACUUAACGAGGAUCAAUUAGAGGGCAAGUCUGGUGCCAGCAGCCGCGGUAAUUCCAGCUCUAAUAGCGUAUAUUAAAGUUGUUGCAGUUAAAAAGCUCGUAGUCGGAUGUCGGGCUCGGGCAAGCUGUCGGCCUUUGGUCGGACGGCAGGCUCGGGUCUUUCUGCCUGAGGAACCCGGUUGCUUUAACGAGCUGCCGGUGGACGCAGGUCGUUUACUUUGAAAAAAUUAGAGUGUUCAAAGCAGGCUAGCGCUUGAAUACAUUAGCAUGGAAUAAUGGAAUAGGACUUUGGUGCUAUUUUGUUGGUUUAUGGGACCGAAGUAAUGAUUAACAGGGACAGUUGGGGCCGUUUAUAUUUCGUUGUCAGAGGUGAAAUUCUUGGAUUUACGAAAGAUAAACUUCUGCGAAAGCAUUCGGCAAGGAUGUUUUCAUUGAUCAA